Long non-coding RNA from Equus caballus (horse), 4737 nucleotides. The record is from Ensembl. Lineage: Eukaryota; Metazoa; Chordata; Mammalia; Perissodactyla; Equidae.
GUAGACAUGGCAGAAAAAGAUAAGUGAACUUGAAGACAGGAUAAACUGAACCACAGAGAGAAAAAAAAAAAUCAAAGAAAACAGUGACAGAGUUUUAGGGACCUGUUGGACAAAUGGUCUUAUAUGCAUGUAAUUAGAAUCCGAGAAAAAGAGUAGGAGGAGUGCGGAUAUUUGAAAAAAAACAUUGACCAAACAUUUCCCAAAUUUGAUUAAAAAUAUAAUCCCAUAGAUCCAAGGAACUCCAUGAAUUUCAACCAGGAUAAAUACACACACAAAACCACACUAAGGCACAUCACAAUCAAAUUGCUGAAAACCAAUGGUGAAGCAAAAAAUCCUUAAAUGAAGCCAGAGAAAAAUUUUAGCCUGUGGCAAGGAUCAAAUCGGUGGUAUGGCUGUCACAUCCAUCGUGGGAAACUCUGAGUGGGCUAAGAGGGGAAUCUUCCCCACUGGGCCAACUGACUCAGGAAACAGAGACUUGAAGGAGUGUUUGCCCAUCUAAGUCUGAUAGACCCAACUUACCUGUGAGUCAUUCCCCCAAAACACAGAGGCUUGAAGGAAGUGGGGGGCACUGGGGGCAAGAGAGGAAGGAAGUUCAGCAAAGGUAAAAGAUAUGUCUAAAAAACUAUGAAUGUGGCUAUUGGUACAUAGAGUCAUCUAGAAUCAAACAGAUAAGAAGACUGCUCCAUCUUUAAAUGAGUUGUACUGCCCCCAAAAAAUCACAAUCCUGGACUGAAAAGACCUCUGACUGUUUGAGGUUUAGCUCUUCUUGGGCUUGCAAAAUUCUACAGGCAGGAAACAGACUGAGGAAACUGCUCAGCUCUCAAGGGAGGCCUGUUCUCCAGCGCUCACAGUAGAUGUGGCCAAGGAGGGCCAUGGGGAGAAAGGCACUUCUCAGAGCAGGAGAUGCUCUAGCUCCAAGGAUCAUGCUUCCCGUGACGGCAUUUAAAAGCUGGAAAGCAAAAGGGGUGUCUCACCAAUCUCCCUCUUCUUGUGGGGCGAGAAACCUUUCUCAGAACACCAAGCAGACUACUGCUCAGGUCCUGAGGGCCAGGGCUGAAUCCUGUGCCCUCACCCUAGCUGCAAGGGGGGCUGGUAAAGCAGGCAUCUGGUACUUUCAGCCUUGAUUACAGGAGGUGGAUUCCGCCAGCAGGGGAGUAACAGGAGGUGUGGGAUGCCUGCUGGAUAGGCGACCCAUAGUGUUUGCCCCACCCCAAGGGUGCCGAGAGUGAGAAAUGAGAUCGUCCAGAGUGAGAUCCUGGGAACAACAACAUUUCAGGGAGCUACACAUAUGGGGUCAAGGAAAGGGAGCCUUAUUAGUUUCUGAGUAACAAGUUGCCCCGAGACUUAGUAGCUUAAAGCAACAAACAUUUAUUUUCUCAUAAUUUCUGAGGGUUGGGAACCUGGGAAUAGCUUUGCUGGUGGUUCUGUCUUAGAGUCUCUCGUGAGGGCACAGUCAAGCUGUUGGCUAGGGCUGCAUUAUCCAAAGCCUUCCUUUGGGUUGGAGGAUCUACUUCCAAGAAGGCUCACUCAUAUGUCUAUGGGUUGGAGUCCUCAGCUCCUCUCUGGCUUUUGACUGGAAGCCUCAGUUCCUUGCCAAGUGGAACUCUCCACAGGCUGCCUGAGGGUCCUCAAUAUAUGGCAGCUGGCUUCUCCCAGGGUAAGCGACCCGAGAGAGAGUGAGAGAAAGUCCAAAAUGAAGCUGCACUGUCUUUUAUAACCUAGUCUCAGAAGUGACAUACCAUCACUUCGGUCAUUUCUAUUGGUCACACUGUCCAACUCUGGUACGAUGUGGGAGGUGACAUGCAAGGUAAGCUCCAGGAAGUGGGAAUCCUUGGGGGCCGUCUUGAAGACUGGCUACCACAGAGCCUUUGAAGGAGACAGAGAAGAAGACAGCAAGAGAUAUGAGGUGAUAUCACAGAGGCCAAGGGGAGAGGGUUCCAGAACAGAAGUGUCCAAUAGUUUUCAAUACAACAGUGAGAACUAGUAGCUAAGGACUGAGAAAUGUCCAUUGGAUUUGUCAAUCAGGGUCAUUAGGAAUAUUAAGACCAAUUAAGAGCAAUGUCACUUGAGCAGUUUGCGGUGGACUGAGGUUUGAAUGGGUGGUGAGCAAGAGGACAACAGCAAGUAUGGACUACUUUUUCAAGAAGGUUGGAAGAGAAAGUUGGACAGAAGCUAGAGGGGGACAUGGGAGGAUUAGUGGAGUUUUUGGAUAUGAGAGGCCUGAGUAUAUUUUUAGGGAGAGGAGAAGCAGCCAGUGGACUGGCAGAGGUGAAGAUCUGGGAAAGGAAAAAUGACUGAUGGAGUGGCUUCUCAGAGGAGGCAGGAGAAUUGGAGGUCAAAGAUGCAGGUGGGGUGGCUGGCUUUGAACAGAGACACCUCAUCCUCUGAGGCUGCGGUGAGAGAGGCAGGAUGAGUCUGGCUGGCACAAGACCUGAGUGGGAGGAUGCCUGGGAACUGAGAACUCAUACCUAAUGGCCUCAAUCUUCUCAGAAAGAGCAGGAGGCAAGGUCACAGUGAGCAGAGAGUGAACGGUGAUGUCAAUUACCAUGGAGAUUGCUUACAUAUGAAGGAAGGCUUGGAAACAGUCUGUUUUCACAGGCAAGGCAAGCCUUUCCCUCGUGAUCUAAUCGCACUCUCUCAGCAAACUCAUUUUUCAUGGUUGGUGAUGUCUUCAAGACAACACUUGUCUGAGUUACCACGAGGUCUGGAUUAGUGGGAUUGAAAUGAAUGAGGAUGGGAGAUACCAGCACUCAGUGGGUGUAAAGAAUCGUGACAUCUCUGUGGGGCAGGAGCCUCCGAGGUAUCAUUGGACAUUCCAUUCGUGGGUUGUGUCAUCAUCAAGGGUUUGUCUAUCCUCUACUUCCACAUCCCACCAACUGGGAACUCACUAUUUCUAAGUAGAGUCUUUCCAUUUUCAAACAAAUCCUUAGGUCUUCCCUUCAGCAGGGCUGAAGUCUGACUCCCUGUGUCCCUCGGGUCCUACAGGGAGUCCCAGAACAAGUCCUCCCACCAAACUGCCCUUUGGAGUUGUUUCUCCUCUAGAAUAAAUGUCCCUUGUUCCUUCUACCCUCCCUCACAUGACAGUGUUUUCUGACCCCUCAGCAGGACUGCCUUCUCCUCCAGAUUUCCUCCAAGAAAACAGUGGUCCUCAAGAUUCAGCUGGGACCUGGCUCAGUGGCUUUCUUCUGAGCACCCAAAGUGCUUAGAAGGCUGCCAGGCGUGUGGGUAACUCGUGGAAACUCCUUCAGUAAUUGAUGAACCUUCUUCCCAGGAUGGUCCAAUCACACUGGCAGUCUUACAGGUUUUCUCUUCAUCCCUCAGCAUGAUCAAAUACUGUAUUUUGGCAUGCAGAAAGAGGUUCCAGAUUCUCAUUUUGGCAUUGUCUCUACAGGUCACUUAAAUCUCUCCAAAUUUCAGGGGAGCCUUGACAACACCUCAGUCCUCUCUUCUGUCUGGAUCCUGCCAUGCUCCAGGGCUCUGCUCUUCCAGGAAGCCUUCCUGUAUCUUCACCUCAUCUCCAAGUCUCCACCCAUCUCCCCUUCUCCAAGUCCGGAGUCCCUACUCAUCUGCCUGUUUGUUCGGCCCUCAGCUCGUGCUGCCUGGCACUGCUGUUCUCUCUCCUACACAUAUAGGCCCGUGCACAGGCCCCCUGGGACUGCCAGCUCUGUGAGCGCCUGACUGUGGGUUUUGCUCCCACAGGAGCUCAAUAACAGGUGCGGACUGCCUGAUGGCUCAGUGAGCUGCACUGUCCCUGGUCCCAGCUGCAGGAGCACAGGCCUGGAGAGGAGGUGUGGACGCUCGCUGGGUCUCUGCUGCAGGUCCCAGUCUCUGUAGUUGUUAUAAAGGCGAUGAGAUCACGUUGAGCGCUGGCACAGCACUUAGCAGGCACCACCACAGCCACUCCUCACAGUGGCCCUAGGAGAUAGGAACUGUUCUCCCCAUGUUUCAGAUUUAAAAAACAGGUGCACAGAGGCGACAUUAUUGCCUCAAGGUCACAUGGCUAGUAAACAGUGGAGCCAGUCCCUGAAACCCUCAGAACAGCCUCCAAGUGAGCAGAAAACAAGUCCCAGGGCUGCCCUUGCCUGACCUUGUAAUGAGGCAGGUAGGCAACUUCCACUGGAUGAUUCUUGAACCACUUGAGAGCAGAGGGACGUGGGCUCUUGGGGCCUCCAGCUGCUCCUAGAAGUGGUCAUCAGGAGAAAGCUGAGUUGAGAGGGGUCUGGGCAGUAGGGUUGACAGUUGAGCAUGGGCUUUGCUAACCACAAUAUUCCGCAAAUCCUACUUUUCAGGGCCAAAUAAUCCUGUAGACAGGUCCACUAGUCCACCCUCCCAGGCAUUCUUCCCAGGCCAGGACAGAAGUUACAUUUCUUCGGAUGGAACACACGUCCUGGAAUCAGAUACUUGGGUAAUUCCCUCCCACGUGAAUCCAGCCAUGACCAUGUGACUUUUUGGCCAAUGUGACAUUAGCAAUGUCACACAAGCAGGGGCAUCAUAAGGUCUUGCCCACUGGGGCUCGUCCUCUUGGAACUCUCCCUUUGAGGCCAGCCCCCAUGCUGUAAAGAAGCUCAGGACAGACUGUGGGAUGAUGAGACGCCACCUAGAGUAACCCCUGGAGGCUGAAUGCUCCAGCCCUAGCCGAGUGCCCGGCCAAGCUCCCACAAUGCAGCCACAUGAGUGACCUCAGCCACGCUACUUGGAGCCAAAGAACCACUCCGCUGAGCCCUGUCAACUCACAGA